GCCGCCGCGGUAAUACGGAGGGUGCGAGCGUUAAUCGGAAUUACUGGGCGUAAAGCGCAUGCAGGUGGUUUGUUAAGUCAGAUGUGAAAGCCCGGGACUCAACCUCGGAACUGCAUUUGAAACUGGCAAACUAGAGUACUGUAGAGGGGGGUAGAAUUUCAGGUGUAGCGGUGAAAUGCGUAGAGAUCUGAAGGAAUACCAGUGGCGAAGGCGGCCCCCUGGACAGAUACUGACACUCAGAUGCGAAAGCGUGGGGAGCAAACAGGAUUAGAUACCCUGGUAGUCCACGCCGUAAACGAUGUCUACUUGGAGGUUGUGGCCUUGAGCCGUGGCCUUCGGAGCUAACGCGUUAAGUAGACCGCCUGGGGAGUACGGUCGCAAGAUUAAAACUCAAAUGAAUUGACGGGGGCCCGCACAAGCGGUGGAGCAUGUGGUUUAAUUCGAUGCAACGCGAAGAACCUUACCUACUCUUGACAUCCAGAGAACUUUCCAGAGAUGGAUUGGUGCCUUCGGGAACUCUGAGACAGGUGCUGCAUGGCUGUCGUCAGCUCGUGUUGUGAAAUGUUGGGUUAAGUCCCGCAACGAGCGCAACCCUUAUCCUUGUUUGCCAGCGAGUAAUGUCGGGAACUCCAGGGAGGCUGCCGGUGAUAAACCGGAGGAAGGUGGGGACGACGUCAAGUCAUCAUGGCCCUUACGAGUAGGGCUACACACGUGCUACAAUGGCGCAUACAGAGGGCAGCCAACUCGCGAGAGUGAGCGAAUCCCAAAAAGUGCGUCGUAGUCCGGAUUGGAGUCUGCAACUCGACUCCAUGAAGUCGGAAUCGCUAGUAAUCGUAGAUCAGAAUGCUACGGUGAAUACGUUCCCGGGCCUUGUACACACCGCCCG
Molecule: ribosomal RNA, 886 nt
Filed under: uncultured bacterium
Lineage: Bacteria
Description: bacterial SSU rRNA
Rfam family: Bacterial small subunit ribosomal RNA
Source: RNAcentral